GUCUAUGGCCAUGCCACCCUGAAUGAGCCCAAUCCCGUCUGAUUUGGGAAGCUAAGCAGGGUCGGGCCUGGUUAGUACUCGGGAUGGGAGACCACCUAGGAAGACCAGGUACUGUAGGUG
This 120-nucleotide ribosomal RNA is filed under the name Pteropus alecto (black flying fox). The record is from RNAcentral. Lineage: Eukaryota; Metazoa; Chordata; Mammalia; Chiroptera; Pteropodidae.